RNAcentral lists this long non-coding RNA (295 nucleotides) under Anas zonorhyncha (Eastern spot-billed duck). RNAcentral describes it as "lncRNA (ENSAZOG00000014683.1)". The record is from RNAcentral. Lineage: Eukaryota; Metazoa; Chordata; Aves; Anseriformes; Anatidae.
AUGUGGGUAACACCACAGUCUGAUGAAGAACAGAGAAACUCUCAUUUGUUUUCAACUAAUGAGCUAAAGAAGCUGAACUAUCAAUUAUGGUCUCUUCAUCUUCCUGAUAUAUGGGGUGUACAACACAGAGCACUGAAGGGGGCACGGGCCCUUAGAGAGAUGCGGAAAGCGAAAAGCAUCUCCUGAUGAUUGUCCAACACCCGAAGCUGCUUCAGAACACGGAUUUUCCAUCCCAUUUCUGUCUCAGCAACGAGCUAUUUGCGGACUCGCACCCGCAGCGUCCCGGUGGCAGCGG